CAACCCUUAAGCUUCUGCUUAGUGUUGGGAACUUACCGAAAGGUAACUCCCUAAAGUCAGUGGCAGAGGUAGAUUCUCCUCUUAGCGUAGUAAAUUUUUCUCGCUUCUGUAGGUGGUCUAGCUCUCGCCAUAAGUCUUAUAUUUUCUAAU
RNAcentral lists this unclassified non-coding RNA (150 nucleotides) under uncultured Xylariales. RNAcentral's name for it is "sequence contains ITS2". Lineage: Eukaryota; Fungi; Ascomycota; Sordariomycetes; Xylariales. The record is from RNAcentral.